GCCAACGACCAUACCACGUAGGAACUACUGGUUCUCGUUCGAUCACCAAAAAGUCAAGCUACGUCGGGCACGGUUAGUACUUGGAUGGGUGACCGCUUGGGAACACCGUGUGUUGUUGGUU
This 121-nucleotide ribosomal RNA is filed under the name Apis mellifera (honey bee). The record is from RNAcentral. Lineage: Eukaryota; Metazoa; Arthropoda; Insecta; Hymenoptera; Apidae.